GAUGAACGCUGGCGGCGUGCCUAAUACAUGCAAGUCGAGCGAACAGACGAGGAGCUUGCUCCUCUGACGUUAGCGGCGGACGGGUGAGUAACACGUGGAUAACCUACCUAUAAGACUGGGAUAACUUCGGGAAACCGGAGCUAAUACCGGAUAAUAUAUUGAACCGCAUGGUUCAAUAGUGAAAGACGGUUUUGCUGUCACUUAUAGAUGGAUCCGCGCCGCAUUAGCUAGUUGGUAAGGUAACGGCUUACCAAGGCGACGAUGCGUAGCCGACCUGAGAGGGUGAUAGGCCACACUGGAACUGAGACACGGUCCAGGCGCCUACGGGAGGCAGCAGUAGGGAACCGUCCGCAAUAGGCGAAAGCCUGACGGAGCAACGCAGCGUGAGUGAUGAAGGUCUUCGGAUCGUAAAACUCUGUUAUUAGGGAAGAACAAAUGUGUAAGUAACUAUGCACGUCUUGACGGUACCUAAUCAGAAAGCCACGGCUAACUACGUG
Molecule: ribosomal RNA, 497 nt
Filed under: uncultured bacterium
Lineage: Bacteria
Description: partial 16S ribosomal RNA
Rfam family: Bacterial small subunit ribosomal RNA
Source: RNAcentral